CCGAGUGGCCAGGGCUGCUGCCCUCCAACUUGGAGGGCAGUAGUUCGAACCCCCACAAAAAUAUUGUGGGGGUAUUUCUUUUCUCAAUUAAUUUGAGUGAAGGUAGUCUUCUCUCUUACCCAUGAGUGAGGAGUAGACAUCCAUCGAAUAUUUGUAAGAGUUAAAAUCUGGGCAGAGCUCCAUUAGCAUUGAUGUCAGUUGGUCCCAG
This 208-nucleotide long non-coding RNA is filed under the name Citrus maxima (pomelo). Its description in RNAcentral is "long non-coding RNA (CMAX_LNC003238)". Lineage: Eukaryota; Viridiplantae; Streptophyta; Magnoliopsida; Sapindales; Rutaceae. The record is from RNAcentral.